RNAcentral lists this microRNA (22 nucleotides) under Cordylochernes scorpioides. Lineage: Eukaryota; Metazoa; Arthropoda; Arachnida; Pseudoscorpiones; Chernetidae. The record is from RNAcentral.
UUCAACAUCUUUGUACCUGUUU